RNAcentral lists this transfer RNA (74 nucleotides) under Candidatus Riflebacteria bacterium GWC2_50_8. Its description in RNAcentral is "tRNA-Gln". It matches the Rfam family "tRNA". From Rfam's summary of the family: Transfer RNA (tRNA) molecules are approximately 80 nucleotides in length. The record is from RNAcentral. Lineage: Bacteria; Candidatus Rifleibacteriota. RNAcentral also lists the same sequence under 1 other name.
UGGGGUGUCGUCUAAUGGUAGGACAGCAGUCUCUGGAACUGCCUAUUGGGGUUCGACUCCCUGCACCCCAGCCG